CGCCCCGCCAGAAGCAUCGCGAAGCCAUGAGGACGAGGUCGACCGGCGAGCAGGCGCGCCACCCACGCUAGGUCGCGAAGGCUCCACGGUGUGAGAUCAUGAUGGUCGGCAAAGAUUGCCAGAGCGGGGACCGCUCGGCAGGACGGCGACGAUGAUGUCGCCGACUGAGUGUCGCGCCGCAGCCAGAGCAGUACUGACGCACUACAGCUGACCUAAGCAACGCCAGGGACGCCAUGGAGGCGCCACAGGGGAUUGGCGCGGCCACGAAGGCCGGCCAGGAACUACUACCGACAAGGAGGGUCAGGGCGCCGAGGCGCCCUAACGCAACCAAGCGGAGUUGUGGUUAGCGAAUUUGGGGGAGGGGGGUUUAGCGAAUAGAGGUUACAUGUGGGAUGACAGCCACGGGCAAGCCAGGGCUCCAUAAACGCACGAGACACGUACGCACACUCGAGGAGGGAACCUCGAAUGACCCCCACGCUCCUCGCCUCACUAAAGGAGGGGAGGAACCCCGAGCAAGGCUCACCGCAAACGCUAGCGCUGCUCACCUAAGCCGCGGGUCGGCGUCAGACUGACUGCCACUUUGCAAAGUGCAACUCCUACCCCAAAACACCAGCACCAACAGGGCAGGGCCCUCACACUGUUGGGUGCAGCCCGAAGCUGCAUCCUGUAGACGGCCCAGGGCCGUGCAAGUUCGCUGAACCACGAGGAUCAGCCGGUCCGACCCACCAGACAGCACAAGCCACAGCGCCCGCAACCUAGCACAGGCGGUGCAGGCACGCCCACCGCCCAACCAAGUCCACACAGCCUCGCAACACCCUAGCACAGCAGACAGCGCCAGCCAGCCUUCGCAUAGUCGGCCUGCGCCAGCCAGCCUUCGCUGGACUGCCUUCGCCAGACUGCAUUCGCCAAGCAGGUCUCUCCACUGUGUAGAUGCGCCCACAGCUCCAGCCGCCGCCGCCCGGAAGACGCCGGUCCUGGCUCCCGCCGCAGCGUGCCCCGGUUCACGCGCGGCGAGCCCGGCGCCACGUCAGGCCGCGGCAGCAGCCCACAGCAAGAGUCGCCAGCAGCUCCAAUCGGCCCUCCGUUACCGAAAGAGCCGCUCAGCGACACGCCACUGCGAGCCCGGCAGCAGCGAGCGCUCCGCCAGAAGCAUCGCGAAGCCAUGAGGACGAGGUCGACCGGCGAGCAGGCGCGCCACCCACGCUAGGUCGCGAAGGCUCCACGGUGUGAGAUCAUGAUGGUCGGCAAAGAUUGCCAGAGCGGGGACCGCUCGGCAGGACGGCGACGAUGAUGUCGCCGACUGAGUGUCGCGCCGCAGCCAGAGCAGUACUGAUGCACUACAGCUGACCUAAGCAACGCCAGGGUUUAGCUACUCAUCUACACAUGCUGUUCCAAAGUGUGCCUCCUGGCGUGUUUUUGGGGUCUGGCGUGUGCCCCAGCCCGCUUUCAAGGCUGCGACCAAGUGUAACUGACUAUUUGCGCCCUGACGCCCCACCCAGCGGCGCGCCAUUAAUUAUUAAGAGCGUUUGCUGUGAGAAAACGCUGGUCAAAGCAGAUGCACUUUGUGGGGUGGGUGAACGAAACGCGUUGACUCUUAUGUUGAAGAAUAGCCAGCUCACCCAGCACCUUUACUUUUUUGCAAGCGCCAAGAUCGGCUGAAGGGAUGCGAAGCGCGGGACCAGUUGGCCCCCCAUUGUGCAACCUCCCCAAGGGGCCUAUGCGCGAUGCAUAGUAUAUUUUGAAUAGAUCGGAGUGAUUUGUAUUCUCUACGCGCGGACGGUUCCCCUGAAGCGCAGCGAGCGAGCCAAAUGCACCACCAGCAAGCUUGCCCGCGGACGCGACUCUCUGGGCAUCACUGAGAUCAUGGGAUGUUUUGAAUAAGUAUCUAUUUGUAGAACAUAUUAUGUGCGCACAGUGCUCCCUGCUGACUGGUUGACUGACAGAAGUGAGACAGACUCCUUAAUCGCUCAAUCUUUGCGGUUUGGCAUUCGUCAUACUACAAUUGGAUGCCCUCUAUGAUAUAUAGCUGUUGUGCUUGCCAUUGUCUACUCGCCCCGCACGAACGUGACUGACGCGCGCGCCUGGCCGCUUCGCCGCCCGUCCGUUCGCGUGCCAGCACCCUCCUGUAUGGGGGGGCGAGCGCCCCC
RNAcentral lists this long non-coding RNA (2147 nucleotides) under Chlamydomonas reinhardtii. Its description in RNAcentral is "long non-coding RNA (CREI_LNC000037)". The record is from RNAcentral. Lineage: Eukaryota; Viridiplantae; Chlorophyta; Chlorophyceae; Chlamydomonadales; Chlamydomonadaceae.